Scylla paramamosain (green mud crab) is the source of this 114-nucleotide small nuclear RNA. RefSeq annotates it as U5 spliceosomal RNA. The transcript has a single exon. The record is from RefSeq and is a predicted model, not a curated record. Lineage: Eukaryota; Metazoa; Arthropoda; Malacostraca; Decapoda; Portunidae.
CGCCCCUGGCUUCCCUUCAAGACGCCUAAAUCUUUCGGAUUUUACUGAAGGUAUCUGUGGAGGGGAGCAAGCCUGUGAGUCUUACGAUUAUUAGUUAUUGAUGUUAUCUUGAGA